Molecule: ribosomal RNA, 119 nt
Filed under: Cicer arietinum (chickpea)
Lineage: Eukaryota; Viridiplantae; Streptophyta; Magnoliopsida; Fabales; Fabaceae
Source: RNAcentral
CUUUUUAAUCAUACCAGCACUAAUGCACCAGAUCCCAUCAGAACUCCGCAGAUAAGCGUACAUGGGCGAGAGUAGUAUUAGGAUGAGCGACCUCGUUGGAAGUCCUCAUGUUGCACAUU